GCCAGGUGCAGGUGCACACCUGUAAUCCCAGCCACUCGGGAGGCUGAGGCAGGAGGACUGCAAGUUUGAGGCCAGCCUCAGCAACUUAGCGAGGCCCUAAUCAACUUAGCGAGACCCUGUCUCAA
This 125-nucleotide small RNA is filed under the name Marmota monax (woodchuck). The record is from RNAcentral. Lineage: Eukaryota; Metazoa; Chordata; Mammalia; Rodentia; Sciuridae.